GAUGAACGCUAGCGGCAGGCCUAAUACAUGCAAGUCGAACGGAUAUAUGUUUUUCGGAAUAUAUAUUAGUGGCGCACGGGUGAGUAACACGUACAUAACUUGCCCUCAAGCGGGGGAUAGCCUUGGGAAACUGAGAGUAAUACCCCACAGAAUUAUUGGACGGCAUCGUUUGAUAAUUAAAACUACGGUGCUUGGGGAUAGAUGUGCGUCUGAUUAGCUAGUUGGUGAGGUAACUGCUCACCAAGGCGACGAUCAGUAGGGGGCGUGAGAGCGUGGCCCCCCACACGGGUACUGAGACACGGACCCGACUCCUACGGGAGGCAGCAGUAAGGAAUAUUGGUCAAUGGAGGGAACUCUGAACCAGCCAUGCCGCGUGAAGGAUGACGGCCCUCUGGGUUGUAAACUUCUUUUGGAUGGGGCGAAAAAACGGGAUUUAUCCUGGACUGACGGUACCAUCAGAAUAAGCACCGGCUAACUCCGUGCCAGCAGCCGCGG
Molecule: ribosomal RNA, 495 nt
Filed under: uncultured bacterium
Lineage: Bacteria
Description: bacterial SSU rRNA
Rfam family: Bacterial small subunit ribosomal RNA
Source: RNAcentral